CCUACGGGGCGCAGCAGUGGGGAAUAUUGGGCAAUGGGCGCAAGCCUGGCCCAGCAACGCCGCGUGAAGGAAGAAGGCUUUCGGGUUGUAAACUUCUUUUCUCAGGGACGAAGCAAGUGACGGUACCUGAGGAAUAAGCCACGGCUAACUACGUGCCAGCAGCCGCGGUAAUACGUAGGUGGCAAGCGUUAUCCGGAUUUACUGGGUGUAAAGGGUGCGUAGGCGGUCCGGAAAGUCAGCGGUAAAAGCCCGGGGCUCAACCCCGGCGAGCCGUUGAAACUGUCGGACUAGAGACGGCGAGAAGU
Molecule: ribosomal RNA, 305 nt
Filed under: uncultured bacterium
Lineage: Bacteria
Description: bacterial SSU rRNA
Rfam family: Bacterial small subunit ribosomal RNA
Source: RNAcentral